This 422-nucleotide ribosomal RNA is filed under the name uncultured eukaryote. Its description in RNAcentral is "SSU rRNA". It matches the Rfam family "Eukaryotic small subunit ribosomal RNA", at positions 592 to 1018 of the family's 1831-position model. The record is from RNAcentral.
CAAUAGCGUAUAUCAAAAUUGUUGCGGUUAAGAAGCUCGUAAUUGGAUUUCUGCCGAGGACGACCGGUCUGCCCUGUGGGUGACCAUCUGGAUCGGCCUGGGCAUUUUCUUGGGGAACGUAGCUGCACUUGAUUGUGUGGUGCGGUAUCCAAGACUUUUACCUUGAGGAAAUUAGAAUGUUUCAAGCAGGCGCACGCCUUGAAUACAUUAGCAUGGAAAAAUAAGAUAGGACCUCGGUUCUAUUUUGUUGGUUUCUAAAGCUGAGGUAAUGAUUAAUAGGGGUAGUUAGGGGCAUUCGUAUUUAACUGUCACAGGUGAAAUUCUUGGAUUUGUUAAAGACGGACUACUGCGAAAGCAUUUGCCAAGGAUGUUUUCAUUGAUCAAGAACGAAAGUUAGGGGAUCGAAGACGAUUAGAUACCGU